This 403-nucleotide ribosomal RNA is filed under the name uncultured bacterium. RNAcentral describes it as "bacterial SSU rRNA". It matches the Rfam family "Bacterial small subunit ribosomal RNA", at positions 355 to 775 of the family's 1533-position model. The record is from RNAcentral.
UAGGGAAUAUUGGUAAUGGGCGAAAGCCUGAACCAGCAACGCCGCGUGUGCGAUGAAGGCCUUCGGGUUGUAAAGCACUUUUUGAGGGGAUAAGGAAGGACAGUACCCUCAGAAUAAGUCUCGGCUAACUACGUGCCAGCAGCCGCGGUAACACGUAGGAGACUAGCGUUAUCCGGAUUUACUGUGCGUAAAGCGCGUGCAGGUGGCUCGGAAAGUUCGAUGUGAAAGCUCCCGGCUUAACUGGGAGAGGUCGUUGAAUACUUUCGGGCUGGAGGAUGGGAGAGGGAGGCGGAAUUCCGGGUGUAGGGGUGAAAUGCGUAGAUAUCCGGAGGAACACCAGUGGCGAAAGCGGCCUCCUGGCCCAUUUCUGACACUCAGACGCGAAAGCUAGGGUAGCAAACGG